This 655-nucleotide ribosomal RNA is filed under the name Oxalobacteraceae bacterium. RNAcentral describes it as "bacterial SSU rRNA". It matches the Rfam family "Bacterial small subunit ribosomal RNA", at positions 67 to 715 of the family's 1533-position model. The record is from RNAcentral. Lineage: Bacteria; Pseudomonadati; Pseudomonadota; Betaproteobacteria; Burkholderiales; Oxalobacteraceae.
CGGCAGCACGGGGGCAACCCUGGUGGCGAGUGGCGAACGGGUGAGUAAUAUAUCGGAACGUGCCCUGGAGUGGGGGAUAACGCAGCGAAAGUUGCGCUAAUACCGCAUACGAUCUACGGAUGAAAGUGGGGGAUUCGCAAGAACCUCAUGCUCGUGGAGCGGCCGAUAUCUGAUUAGCUAGUUGGUAGGGUAAAAGCCUACCAAGGCAUCGAUCAGUAGCUGGUCUGAGAGGACGACCAGCCACACUGGAACUGAGACACGGUCCAGACUCCUACGGGAGGCAGCAGUGGGGAAUUUUGGACAAUGGGGGCAACCCUGAUCCAGCAAUGCCGCGUGAGUGAAGAAGGCCUUCGGGUUGUAAAGCUCUUUUGUCGGGGAAGAAACGGUKNNUNCUAAUACGGNNSACUAAUGACGGUACCCGAAGAAUAAGCACCGGCUAACUACGUGCCAGCAGCCGCGGUAAUACGUAGGGUGCAAGCGUUAAUCGGAAUUACUGGGCGUAAAGCGUGCGCAGGCGGUUAUGUAAGACAGAUGUGAAAUGCCCGGGCUCAACCUGGGAACUGCAUUUGUGACUGCAUGGCUAGAGUGUGUCAGAGGGGGGUAGAAUUCCACGUGUAGCAGUGAAAUGCGUAGAGAUGUGGAGGAAUACCGAUGG